UACUUCCCUUACUCUCAGUUGCUCUCCUCUUCGUCUCCUCUUCCGAUCCAGAGCUAGGGUUCAUCGAGUUUUCCUCUCCUUUGUGUCCCCCCUCUCACUUUCUCGUCUGAUCUACUCUACUUUUGUGGUUAUUUAGCUGUUAGUUUUGUACCUUUUGUUGUUCUAUAUGCAGGAUUUGCUCUCGGGGAUUUCUUGGGUUAGGGAUCUUUGUGCUCCAUCUGCUUGUUCAGGUAUUUUACCUGCUCAAUCUUUUUUUCUUGUCUUUCUAUGUCUUUUGUAAUGUUUCGUGGUAGAAUGGGAUGUAUGGUUAGGGUUCUUGUUUAGCAUGCUUUGGUUAGGGUUUUCGUAAUCUUCCUUUUUUUUCCUUCAAUCUUGCUCUUUUGGUUAGGAUUUGUGUCUUCUCUUCCCUUUUUUUCUUUUAGAAUAAGUUGCUAGAUAUCUGGUGGAAUAGAUGUGCGGUAGUUUGAUUUUUUGGGUUUGGUUUUUUAUGGCUGGGGUAGGCUUGUGCUAUAGAUUUAUUAGAUUUCUGGAUAUUUUGUUGAUUUGGUGUGAUUGAAGAAUAGGAAGUGAGUUUCUACGUCUUGAACUGUUAAAUCAAAUGUGUGUAAGGUUAAUCUAAUGUUAAAUCUAGGUCUUUGUGGUUCUUACAAUGAGCUUUUUUCCGGACCUUCUGUUGAGAGUUUUGUUAAAGGUCCUCUUUUUUUAAACUUAAUCCCCUUUACUUUGUGUUUCUAAAUGCUCAUAGGCUUAACAUUACUAUAUUCAACUUCGUAGGCUUAGCUUGCUCAUCAAAUUCUUUAUUCAGAGUGUUUUGUAGGAGAUUUAUAAUCUUUCGAGUAUCCAUGUACUUACAGUAAUCCUAAGUGAAUUACUAGUCAUGUAUAUUUAUUUAUUGAAUUUUAUUUUUGUGCAUGAAAAAUAUGUAUUCUUCUCGCAGUUUUCAACUGUUGUAAAUUAGAAUGUACUUACCUUUGUUGCUAAUAUACCUUUUACUCCAUGUUGAUUUUGUUCUUGCUGAUUUUAUUUGUGUGCAAAUUGUGUAGCCCGCAUGUGUAAAUCUACAAUAAUUAGUAUCAUGACAUAGCAGUAAGUCAUAGUAGCAAUUGUCGGAUCCCAUGAUAUUCAAAAUAUAUGAUAUGGUAUUCCCAACGUCUGCAAAUUGCUCCAAGAAUGGCUCUCAGCCAAGACACCUACCACAUUGUUUUCUCUUUGUGUUUUUAGAAUAUGCUUUGCCGCAGCUUGUCAGUGUUGUGUAUUUUGUGAACCCUUCAUGUGCAACUAAAGACAGAUAGUACUUUCCGAAUAUUGUAGACAUUGGGAAUACCAUGUUCAACUAGUACUUUAUGAAUAUUGUAGUUACAAUAGGUGCAACCUAUAGUAGGGGUGGGUGUUUUUGCACCCAAAGAAGGAGAGCAACAUAGAGUAGGAAUGUAUGCUUAGGUCUGCUUUUGUGUGUGCAUAUUUUUGUAUGCUUGAUGUGGUAGCGUUUUAACUGUUGUAAAUUAGAAUAUACUUACCUUUGUUGCUAGUAUAUAUCUUAUACUCCGUGGUAGCAAUGGUUGGAUCCCAUGAUAUGCAAAAUAUUUUUUCUAUGGUAUUCCAAAUGUCUGCAAUUGCACCAACAAUGGUUCUCGGCCAAUACUCCUACUAAUCUAUUGCUCUAUUUCUUUAGAAUAUGCUUUGCUCUAGUCUGUAGAUGUUGUUCCUGAUAAUGAUGUUGUGCAAGUUCCUAAUCCUUCUUGUGCAGUUGAAUGGUUUGAUAGUUCCAUUAGUUUUUCUAAUAGUUUGAUAGUUUGACUAGUGAUAGUUAAUUCUAUUAUUGUGAGAUAGUUGCCGUAGUUGGUGAGAGCUAGUUGCAUUGCUUAUUGCUUGCUAUUUUUUCUAUGAGCUUUGUGAUGUUGUUUAGUUUUAGGUAGUUUUUAUUGUUGUUGUUGCUAUAAAUUUACCUAGAUGCUACCCUUUUAACCUAUUUUGUGGUUUUCCCUUUGAUGAGUUCCCUUUUUAUAUUAAGGCUUCUUUUUUUAUUUUAUGUGGGCAUGGUUUGCCCUAUCUGCCAUAAUCCGGAUGGACCCUGUGAGCCAGGUGAUCUAGUUCUCCACGAGUUUGACGUUGUCCUCAAUGAAAGUUGCUUUAGGCACAUGUACAUUCCCUACAAUUUUAGAGCUUUUGUAGCUUAUUACAUUGAUGAGCAGAGGGAUGCUGCUAUGAUGUUACAGUACAAGAAGGUUGAGCCUGCUCUUCUUACUUAUGAAGGAAGGUCUUACCCUCCUUUGUUUAAGCAUUGACCCAAUUUAGCAAGUUUUAUGGCAAUGCUUGGUUGAGUUAACUAUGACUAUGGUCUUCGUGCUGGAGACCGGAUAGUGUUCUCUCUGGACCAUAUGACCUUUGAUCUGAAAGUGGACACUUAUCGGGGUGCAGAAAGGUUGCUUCCUAUUCUUUGUGUUGUUUUGUUUUGUAGCUUUUGAAAAUUUGUCUAAUGAUAAAUACCAGUAUGUUGGCUAUGCUGUCUUCUCUCAGCAAAUAGCGUUUAACUAUCAUGAGACCCGCUUCUUUCUUUGGUGUCUCUUUCAAGACAAUUUCCUGCGUUGCCGCCCAUUUGUGCAUCUCAUGACUGUCACCAACAUCACACCAACAUCAACCGGCAUAUCAUGGUGGAAAAUCCCCAAGACUGUUGUUUGAAGCUUGAAGAGAUUUGUUGAUGUGCCGAAUGCGUUUGUCACUCUGGUAGCUAUGGAUGAGGGUGUGCAUGUAAUCACUCCUUCGUCAUUUUCUAUUAGCAAGCAAGAUGGGGGGAUGGUGAUUCAGAACAACACUUUCAAUGAGUUCUUCCCAGCCGCUUCUCUUAUUGAAGGCAAUGUUGUUCUCAUCACAUUCAAAGAACCCAUUUACAGAUCAGUGUCCAUUGUGUUGCAAUAGAUCAUCUACGUGCAAAUGCUAUGCUUCUGACCUUGAUGCAAGUGAUAGUGGUAGGGGAAUGACAGUUGGUGGUUCCGAGCUUGAUCUUUUGGGGGCAAACUAUGUUAGUUAUAUGCAAUUAUGUAUGGACUCCCUUUGGAAUUAUGUUCAGAUGCUUAGUUGUGUAUGAACUAGCAAGGUGACCCGCACAUUUGCGCGGCUAGAUUUAUUAAUUAUUAUUCUUGUUUGUGAUA
Triticum urartu is the source of this 3149-nucleotide non-coding RNA. The record is from RefSeq and is a predicted model, not a curated record. Lineage: Eukaryota; Viridiplantae; Streptophyta; Magnoliopsida; Poales; Poaceae.